RNAcentral lists this ribosomal RNA (497 nucleotides) under uncultured bacterium. Its description in RNAcentral is "partial 16S ribosomal RNA". It matches the Rfam family "Bacterial small subunit ribosomal RNA", at positions 28 to 507 of the family's 1533-position model. The record is from RNAcentral.
GAUGAACGCUGGCGGCGUGCCUAAUACAUGCAAGUCGAGCGAACAGACGAGGAGCUUGCUCCUCUGACGUUAGCGGCGGACGGGUGAGUAACACGUGGAUAACCUACCUAUAAGACUGGGAUAACUUCGGGAAACCGGAGCUAAUACCGGAUAAUAUAUUGAACCGCAUGGUUCAAUAGUGAAAGACGGUUUUGCUGUCACUUAUAGAUGGAUCCGCGCCGCAUUAGCUAGUUGGUAAGGUAACGGCUUACCAAGGCGACGAUGCGUAGCCGACCUGAGAGGGUGAGCGCCCACACAGGAACGGAGACACGGUCCAGACUCCGACGGGAGGACGCAGUAGGGAAUCUUCCGAAAGGGGAGAAAGCCUGACGGAGCAGCGCCGAGUGAGUGAUGAAGGUCUUCGGAUCGUAAAACUCUUUUAUGAGGGAAAAACAAAUGUGUAAGUAACUGUGCACUUCUGGACGGUACCUAAUCAGAAAGCCACGGCUAACUACGUG